RNAcentral lists this ribosomal RNA (468 nucleotides) under uncultured bacterium. RNAcentral's name for it is "partial 16S ribosomal RNA". It matches the Rfam family "Bacterial small subunit ribosomal RNA", at positions 28 to 507 of the family's 1533-position model. The record is from RNAcentral.
GGCGAACGCUGGCGGCGUGCUUAACACAUGCAAGUCGAACGGAAAGGCCCUGCUUUUGUGGGGUGCUCGAGUGGUGAACGGGUGAGUAACACGUGAGUAACCUGCCCUUGACUUUGGGAUAACUUCAGGAAACUGGGGCUAAUACCGGAUAGGAGCUCCUGCUGCAUGGUGGGGGUUGGAAAGUUUCGGCGGUUGGGGAUGGACUCGCGGCUUAUCAGCUUGUUGGUGGGGUAGUGGCUUACCAAGGCUUUGACGGGUAGCCGGCCUGAGAGGGUGACCGGCCACAUUGGGACUGAGAUACGGCCCAGACUCCUACGGGAGGCAGCAGUGGGGAAUAUUGCACAAUGGGCGGAAGCCUGAUGCAGCAACGCCGCGUGCGGGAUGACGGCCUUCGGGUUGUAAACCGCUUUCGCCUGUGACGAAGCGUGAGUGACGGUAAUGGGUAAAGAAGCACCGGCUAACUACGUG